Long non-coding RNA from Oreochromis niloticus (Nile tilapia), 2492 nucleotides. RefSeq lists it as uncharacterized. The transcript has 3 exons. NCBI's taxonomy places the organism in Eukaryota, Metazoa, Chordata, Actinopteri, Cichliformes, Cichlidae. The record is from RefSeq and is a predicted model, not a curated record.
CUGUACAUUUUUUUCCCUCUGGUGUUUUGUUUUAUGUUGGGGUGCAGCGGUCUUCUUCAGUGGUUCUGCUCCCCGACCCUGCGGCGGGAAAAUACGCUCACUUGUGGGUUUCUGGGAAGGCAGCGGUGAAUGAAACAUCUGCUGGGAGCAAGAUGUAUGACUGGUUUCCAGGCUGAUGAUUGAGGAUGACAACGCCCACAUCCACGGGGCAUAAGGGGUCACUACAGAUUUGAUGAGUAUCAACUUGCGAUCACACUCACCAGAUCACAACCCAGUUCAGCCUCUGUUGGAGAUUUGGGGUCAACAUUUUAGAUAGUUCUCUCAACCACCAUCAUCACAGGAAACUCUUUUAGAAAAUAUGUGUUUCACUCAUUGAAGUUGCUCUGUGGUUGUGUGGUGGGCCAGUACCACUUUUUUUUUUCCCUUUGAUUUGUUACCCAACUGUACAUUUUACAUUUUAGCAAGUACUGCAUUAUUUCAUAUGCUGUAUCAUACAUGGCUAUAAAUAACUUAAAAUCAGCAGAAAGGAAUAUGUGACAAAGUUAUGACAACUCAAAAGCUAAUUUAAGUUUUUCUUUUUUUUUUGCAUCCCUGAAUUGAUAAGUGGAAGAGGAUAUGUUGAUGGAUGGAUGGUCAUAGUUGAAUCCAUACUUACUCACCCAAAUAUAAGCACUGGCUCUUAGCACUUGAUGGAGCUUGCUGAUGACAACCAUGAAAUCAGUGUUGUUUCUUCUUUAAUAAAAACAAUGUUUCAAAGGUUACAUCAAAAAUGACAUAAUCGUGUGUCAAACCACAAAUAAGUACCAGUCAUUGUUCAAUUUCUUGUAUGUGAAAAAUGAUUAAAAACAAAAAACAAAUCUUCACAACAUUUCACAUUAUAAUAUAGGUAAUAGUUCAUUAUUACCAUCAUUAUUAAUUGAUACUUAACUUUAGUUAGCAGUUCUUUCAUUGUUAACAAACACUGAAACACAAUAAAUAAUGAUACUUAUUGUAACUUUGCACAUUCCAUCCAUCCAUUCAUCCAUCCAUUCUCUUCUGCUUAUAUCCUUUUGAGGGUUGCACGGGGGUGGGGGGUAAUCAUUAGUAGUUAUCCUUUUAUGGUCAACAGCAGGGCAAUCCUACACACAAUUGCGGGCAAUUUCUGCCAAAAGUUUGCAUGCUCUCCUUGUGUCUUUGUGGGUUUUGUCAGGUUAAGGCGUGGGAGUGGACCCAAAAGCAGAUUCAAAUGACAAUGAGACAGAGAAUUUAACAGCACGUUACAGAACACUAGGACAUUUGCUGUGAACGCAGAAAUGUAGCGUGAGUCUCUGGCGUGGAGGCAACUGAAACAGAGGGAGGGGGACGUUAAUUCCUAAGUGGAGGUAAUAUUGGCAAAAGGUAAGUAUUGAGUUUGGGAAAGAAAGCCCUAUUUGUAGAUGGGAGGCUCCGUGAGCGGGGGAAUCGAGGGAGUGUCCACCUGAAUGAGUAUGAUGCUCCGACCUUUUAUUUCCAGGGAUUCAGAAGAGCACUGUGAGCCGGAUAGCAGGCAGGUGAGAGUGAUUGAUUAGUGGUGGCUCCGAGGAAUGAGCACGCAGACUGAAACAGUGAGUUUGAUACGAUGUGACUGGCAUUCAGGAAAAAAUAGUGCAGGUGAGUCAAGUCUGGGUCUUGGAGGAAGAAAUUGUGAGGUUGUAGACGAACUGGCAUUGAGUGGAAGGCUGGGCUGGUCUUUAAUGCUGGCCUGCUAAUUGCCAUUCCUGAAUCACAGGUGGAUGAUGCAGGUGUAAAAACAGGGCUCUGUGUCCCCAUGGGCGGAUACAAGAAAACCAGAGCCAAUGCGGAAAAACACCAAAACAGCAGACACUCACUCGGAUCAUGACAGUGUCGUCUUUUGAGGCCAAGAAGAACUGAGAGAUGGAUGGAUGAAGGGAGGGAUGGAUGGAUGGGAGAAUGUGACCACUUCUGAGGCAUUGUCGACAGCCACGCUGAAUAGGCAGCGGGCCUGCCUGGAACCACGCCUGUAUUUAUGAUCUUCAAAGGAAGGAUGACACACACACGCUCACGCACAUCCACAAAUUAUUGAUAGUUACAGGAAAACACAUGCUUGUGCAAGUGUGGCACAUGCAAAUUUGCAUAUAGAUUUCAUCUCACACAUAAUAAAGAAAGAAAAAGCAAUUCUUACAUACAUGGCACCAGCACAAGUACCACCGCUGUGGUCACAGCAGGUCAGUUUUAGUGAAAUGUGCAUUGCUGUUUAGCUAUAAAUGGCAGAUUUAGGGUCAGAAUGGUGCAAAGGUCUUUACAGUGCCUAUACAGGUUUCGCACGUGAAGUAAUGUGCACACUGAGAGAGUUGUCCGCCACAUUAUAUAUGAAACAACCACUGGGGAAAAUGUGUAUUGUAAUGUGUAAUGUGUAUUAUAAGUAAGCAUAAAAAAGUCCCCAAUCUGGAAAUGGAGAAAGUUCACCUUCAGUGUAAAAGUUGUGCCUUAGCGCCAGUGUUGGGAAGGUUACU